This 110-nucleotide unclassified non-coding RNA is filed under the name soil metagenome. RNAcentral's name for it is "partial internal transcribed spacer 1". The record is from RNAcentral.
AAAAAAAAAUGCCAACGCCAAAGUCGGGGCAAGUCCCCCGGCUUUGCGGUGCAUCCACCUGUCUGCUAUUGAUUGUCUGACAUUUUUGUAUUGAUGCAAAGAUACAAUUA